This 74-nucleotide transfer RNA is filed under the name Thiocapsa roseopersicina. RNAcentral's name for it is "tRNA_Arg_TCT". It matches the Rfam family "tRNA". From Rfam's summary of the family: Transfer RNA (tRNA) molecules are approximately 80 nucleotides in length. Their secondary structure includes four short double-helical elements and three loops (D, anti-codon, and T loops). The record is from RNAcentral. RNAcentral also lists the same sequence under 2 other names. Lineage: Bacteria; Pseudomonadati; Pseudomonadota; Gammaproteobacteria; Chromatiales; Chromatiaceae.
GCGCUCGUAGCUCAGUUGGAUAGAGCAACGGCCUUCUAAGCCGUGGGUCGCAGGUUCGAGUCCUGCCGAGCGCG